GUAGGAAUCUACCUUGUAGUGGGGGAUAACCUGGGGAAACUCGGGCUAAUACCGCAUAAUCUCUUUGGAGCAAAGCGGGGGAUCUUCGGACCUCGUGCUAUAAGAUGAGCCUACGUCGGAUUAGCUUGUUGGUGGGGUAAUGGCCUACCAAGGCGACGAUCCGUAGCUGGUCUGAGAGGACGAUCAGCCACACUGGGACUGAGACACGGCCCAGACUCCUACGGGAGGCAGCAGUGGGGAAUAUUGGACAAUGGGGGAAACCCUGAUCCAGCAAUGCCGCGUGUGUGAAGAAGGCCUUCGGGUUGUAAAGCACUUUCGGUGGGGAAGAAAUUCUCAAGGGUAAUAUCCUUGGGCGUUGACGUUACCCACAGAAGAAGCACUGGCUAACUCUGUGCCAGCAGCCGCGGUAAUACAGAGAGUGCAAGCGUUAAUCGGAAUCACUGGGCGUAAAGCGCGCGUAGGUGGAUAUUUAAGUCGGAUGUGAAAGCCCUGGGCUUAACCUGGGAAUUGCACCCGAUACUGGGUAUCUUGAGUAUGGUAGAGGGAAGUGGAAUUUCCGGUGUAGCGGUGAAAUGCGUAGAUAUCGGAAAGAACACCAGUGGCGAAG
This 607-nucleotide ribosomal RNA is filed under the name Coxiella burnetii. RNAcentral's name for it is "bacterial SSU rRNA". It matches the Rfam family "Bacterial small subunit ribosomal RNA", at positions 117 to 720 of the family's 1533-position model. Lineage: Bacteria; Pseudomonadati; Pseudomonadota; Gammaproteobacteria; Legionellales; Coxiellaceae. The record is from RNAcentral.